AAUAAGAGGGAGCUGAGAGAGGCCAGACUCAGCUGGGAGCUCUUUGAAGCUGAGCUCUCGGGUCCUCUCACCAUGGCCUGGCCUCUCGUCUGUCUCUCACUGCUCUCCUUCUGCUCAGGCUCCCUCUCCCAGGCUGUGGUGACUCAGCCUCCCUCUGCCUCUGCAGCCCUGGGGAGCUCGGCCAGACUCUCCUGCACCCUGAGCAGUGUGUCCAGUGCUUUUCCUGUUACUUGGCACCAGCAGAGCCCAGGAAAGCCCCCUCGGUCCCUCCUGUAUGUCGGCAGUGAUGGAAGUACCAGCAGGGCCGACGGGAUCCCUGAGCGCUUCUCUGGCUCCGGAUCUGGGACGAACCGAUUCCUGUCCAUCAGCAACGUCGAGCCCGAGGAUGAAGCUGAUUAUUUCUGUGAGGCAUUUUACUACUCUGGUGGUAGUUAUCCUUUUACACAGUGA
Non-coding RNA from Monodelphis domestica (gray short-tailed opossum), 450 nucleotides. NCBI's taxonomy places the organism in Eukaryota, Metazoa, Chordata, Mammalia, Didelphimorphia, Didelphidae. The record is from the annotation of a RefSeq genome assembly.